GGGGCAAAGGCUGCAUGUGGAGUGAAUCGUAGGUGUCCUUGGUUGCAGCACUCAGGCCCUGAGAUGAAGAAGAUUAACACACAGAUAAAGAAAUGAUGGCGCUGUACAGGAAAACAGAUCAUUACUACACUGCUUAUGUUCUCACAGGGGAGUGAAGACUAGCACAUGCCUCCUCCGACACUGUCUCAGAAAUCAGCCACCGCCUCUUUUUGAACUGCUGCUUUUUGAACGGUUCCGAUAGAUCAGCUCACAGAAAUUUGUAAAAAUGAGCCCUUACUUUGCCUCAUUGGCUCUAGUGCUGCCAUGCCCUAAUAUCAAAUUGAAUGUUGUUUUCUUUAGUGUAGUGGGUGGGGCUUAGCUACUAGUUAAUUGUCAUAUAAACCUAUUUUUAUUGGCUGGUUCAUGGUCUAUUCAGAUUAGCUAUGUGUUUUAAUUAGUGUUAUGUGCAAUAUAUAUAUUU
This is a long non-coding RNA of Astyanax mexicanus (Mexican tetra), 460 nucleotides long. RefSeq lists it as uncharacterized. The record is from RefSeq and is a predicted model, not a curated record. The transcript has 3 exons. Lineage: Eukaryota; Metazoa; Chordata; Actinopteri; Characiformes; Acestrorhamphidae.